GAUGAACGCUGGCGGCGUGCCUAAUACAUGCAAGUCGAGCGAACGGACGAGAAGCUUGCUCCCCUGAUGUUAGCGGCGGACGGGCGAGUAAGACGUGGAUAACAUACCUCUAUGACUGGGGUAACUUCGGGAAACCGGAGCUACUACCGGCUAAUAUUUUGAACCGCUUGGUUCAAAAGUGAAAGACGGUCUUGCUGUUUCUUAUAGAUGGAUCCGCGCUGCAUUAGCUAGUUGGUAAGGUAACGGCUUACCAAGGCAACGAUGCGUAGCCGACCUGAGAGGGUGAUCAGCCACACUGGAACUGAGACACGGUCCAGACUCCUACGGGAGGCAGCAGUGCGGAAUCUUCCGCAAAGGGCGAAAGCCUGACGGAGCCACACCGCGUGAGUGAUGAAGGUCUUCGGAUCGUAAAGCUCUGUUAUUAGGAAAGAACAUAUGUGUAAUUAACCGUGGCCAUCUUGACGGUACCUAAACAGAAAGCCACGGCUAACUACGUG
RNAcentral lists this ribosomal RNA (497 nucleotides) under uncultured bacterium. RNAcentral's name for it is "partial 16S ribosomal RNA". It matches the Rfam family "Bacterial small subunit ribosomal RNA", at positions 28 to 507 of the family's 1533-position model. The record is from RNAcentral.